Prunus mume (Japanese apricot) is the source of this 668-nucleotide non-coding RNA. Lineage: Eukaryota; Viridiplantae; Streptophyta; Magnoliopsida; Rosales; Rosaceae. The record is from RefSeq and is a predicted model, not a curated record.
AACAUAAGCAUUGAUCAUGACUUCUUCGAGCAGUGAAUCAAAAUCCCUCUUUUUCGUGGACAAGUCCAAGGAUGGAAUCGUCUCUCACCUUUCUGACGUAUAAGGGUUCCGUUCCAUACCCGAAGCAAAAGAAGUAGAGGAAACUAUAUUUCAUGUUUUCCAGAAAGAAAGUUCUUAUGUACUCUGAUGUUGGCUUCAUUUAUGCGGGUCAUUUCUUUACUGAGCCAGACUACAAUAGGCUACAAUUGCUACAAGGGGAGAGGCCAUCCAUGGUUGAAGAAGGGCAAUGGAUAUACCAUACACACCUACCUAAAUGAGCAAAGGAAGAUUGAUGUGACAAUUAGCAGGGAGCUGCUAUAGGAUUCUAUACAAUGAAGUGCUUCCACUACUUCAACAACAAAAUAAAGGAGGUGGGAACAAAGAUUGCUACAGAACCGAGGAAAUCUGAUUAUUCAGGAGCUGAAUAUGGUCAUUAAGUCUUCAUGCUCAACAAAUCACCCAACUCUGUAAACCAGAAUUGUAGGAAGAGAUGGUUUCAAAUAUGUUAAUGAGAUAUGAGUACAUUUGCUGUUUUAUGUAGGAUCUUGGUAUUCGUAGGUAUUUGUAUAUUUUUUUUAAUUCAUUUUUUGUGAUAUUUUUACGUUAGACACAAAAAUGAACCUUUGAUG